RNAcentral lists this ribosomal RNA (496 nucleotides) under uncultured bacterium. RNAcentral's name for it is "partial 16S ribosomal RNA". It matches the Rfam family "Bacterial small subunit ribosomal RNA", at positions 29 to 507 of the family's 1533-position model. The record is from RNAcentral.
AUGCACGCUGGCGGCGUGCCUCAUACAUGCCAGUCGAGCGAACAGACGAGGAGCUUGCUCCUCUGACGUUAGCGGCGGACGGGUGAGUAACACGUGGAUAACCUACCUAUAAGACUGGGAUAACUUCGGGAAACCGGAGCUAAUACCGGAUAAUAUAUUGAACCGCAUGGUUCAAUAGUCAAAGACGGUUUUGCUGUCACUUAUAGAUGGAUCCGCGCCGCAUUAGCUAGUUGGUAAGGUAACGGCUUACCAAGGCAACGAUGCGUAGCCGACCUGAGAGGGUGAUCGGCCACACUGGAACUGAGACACGGUCCAGACUCCUACGGGAGGCAGCAGUAGGGAAUCUUCCGCAAUGGGCGAAAGCCUGACGGAGCAACGCCGCGUGAGUGAUGAAGGUCUUCGGAUCGUAAAACUCUGUUAUUAGGGAAGAACAAAUGUGUAAGUAACUAUGCACGUCUUGACGGUACCUAAUCAGAAAGCCACGGCUAACUACGUG